GGUAAAAUGGCUGAGUGUUUAAGCGGUGGAUUGUAGCCCCACGUAGAGAGGUUUAAUUCCUCUUUUUACCA
RNAcentral lists this transfer RNA (71 nucleotides) under Guentherus altivela (highfin tadpole fish). Its description in RNAcentral is "tRNA-Tyr". It matches the Rfam family "tRNA". Rfam says of the family: Transfer RNA (tRNA) molecules are approximately 80 nucleotides in length. Their secondary structure includes four short double-helical elements and three loops (D, anti-codon, and T loops). Further hydrogen bonds mediate the characteristic L-shaped molecular structure. tRNAs have two regions of fundamental functional importance: the anti-codon, which is responsible for specific mRNA codon recognition, and the 3' end, to which the tRNAs corresponding amino acid is attached (by aminoacyl-tRNA synthetases). tRNAs cope with the degeneracy of the genetic code in two manners: having more than one tRNA (with a specific anti-codon) for a particular amino acid; and 'wobble' base-pairing, i.e. permitting non-standard base-pairing at the 3rd anti-codon position. The record is from RNAcentral. Lineage: Eukaryota; Metazoa; Chordata; Actinopteri; Ateleopodiformes; Ateleopodidae.